UUUGAACGCGAAGGACCUUACCUGGGCUUGACAUACACCGGAUCGGGCUAGAGAUAGUUCUCUCCCUUGUGGCUGGUGUACAGGUGGUGCAUGGUUGUCGUCAGCUCGUGUCGUGAGAUGUUGGGUUAAGUCCCGCAACGAGCGCAACCCUUGUCUUAUGUUGCCAGCAUUUGGUUGGGGACUCAUGAGAGACUGCCGGGGUUAACUCGGAGGAAGGUGGGGAUGACGUCAAAUCAUCAUGCCCCUUAUGUCCAGGGCUUCACACAUGCUACAAUGGUCGGUACAACGCGCAGCGAGCCUGUGAGGGUGAGCGAAUCGCUGAAAGCCGGUCGUAGUUCGGAUUGGGGUCUGCAACUCGACCCCAUGAAGUCGGAGUCGCUAGUAAUCGCAGAUCAGCAACGCUGCGGUGAAUACGUUCCCGGGUCUUGUACACACGCA
Molecule: ribosomal RNA, 438 nt
Filed under: bacterium CPTAC44
Lineage: Bacteria
Description: bacterial SSU rRNA
Rfam family: Bacterial small subunit ribosomal RNA
Source: RNAcentral